Molecule: long non-coding RNA, 570 nt
Filed under: Chrysemys picta bellii (western painted turtle)
Lineage: Eukaryota; Metazoa; Chordata; Testudines; Emydidae
Description: lncRNA (ENSCPBG00000025138.1)
Source: RNAcentral
GUGAAGUCAAUGCAGUAACCUGCCUGUUGUUUUUUUUCUUUUUUUUUCUUUUUACAUAGAAGAAUGAAUAUUCCAAGGAAAAAAUGAAAUGACUGCACAUCUAAUUAAACUGAAGUCACUGCAGUACCUGCACAUAGUGCUUGUGGGGGUUUGUUGAAAACAUUGUCAGCAAAUGAACCAAUUCAUCAAAAGCACAUCCAUCCAGGUAUUUAUCGCCAAGGCUUCUGAGUUCCUGUCACACCUUCCAUUUUAAGAUUUGGGCAACCAGAGACCGUGGCAUCACCAAGUCAGCCUCUACUAGUGAGUUUCAUAUGGAGAUCCAGCUGCAAAUUAAACCUACCCUGCCUUAAUAGAACCUGUGGACAGGGGGAUUGCUGAAAAUACUACAUGCCCUCCCUUGAGCUCAAUACUCCUGGAAUGCAGCCAACUCCACUGGCACAGGUUUUGGGGGCUGAUCCCCCUUCACAAUUCUUCUCUUCGUAUCUAUUAAAGAGGAAGAUGGAGCAGACCUUCAGGUCAGCCAAAGAUACAGAGAUUUUUGGUGAGCUUUCUUCCAACUAUAGAAAAUGA